Molecule: ribosomal RNA, 466 nt
Filed under: uncultured bacterium
Lineage: Bacteria
Description: partial 16S ribosomal RNA
Rfam family: Bacterial small subunit ribosomal RNA
Source: RNAcentral
GACGAACGCUGGCGGCGUGCUUAACACAUGCAAGUCGAACGGAAAGGCCCUGCUUUUGUGGGGUGCUCGAGUGGCGAACGGGUGAGUAACACGUGAGUAACCUGCCCUUGACUUUGGGAUAACUUCAGGAAACUGGGGCUAAUACCGGAUAGGAGCUCCUGCUGCAUGGUGGGGGUUGGAAAGUUUCGGCGGUUGGGGAUGGACUCGCGGCUUAUCAGCUUGUUGGUGGGGUAGUGGCUUACCAAGGCUUUGACGGGUAGCCGGCCUGAGAGGGUGACCGGCCACAUUGGGACAGAGAUACGGCCCAGACUCCUACGGGAGGCAGCAGUGGGGAAUAUUGCAAAAUGGGCGGAAGCCUGAUGCAGCAACGCCGCGUGCGGGAUGACGGCCUUCGGGUUGUAAACCGCUUUCGCCUGUGACGAAGCGUGAGUGACGGUAAUGGGUAAAGAAGCACCGGCUAACUACG